Rhododendron vialii is the source of this 1998-nucleotide long non-coding RNA. RefSeq lists it as uncharacterized. NCBI's taxonomy places the organism in Eukaryota, Viridiplantae, Streptophyta, Magnoliopsida, Ericales, Ericaceae. The transcript has 3 exons. The record is from RefSeq and is a predicted model, not a curated record.
UGGCAAGGUUUGGGGAAUUGCUUGUAAAAAUGGUAUGAUUUGGUGAAUGUAUGGUAGUUUGAAUGGAGAUCCCUUUCGAGUUUUCACAUGGUGGUUUGAAGAAAGGGAACCUGAUUUCUUUCGAUGUCGUGAAAUUCACCUACAUGUUUGCUUCCCACUGUAAGAGCAAAAAAAAACCUCAAGCUGAUGUCUUUAAUUUUACUAAUCAACUUGAUUUCUUUUUCGUACAAUAGGUUUAUUUUCAAUGUCAAAUUUGGAUAUGUAUUUGAUCAUUGAUGUGUUUUCCUUUGUUGAGUUAUAAAUUGCUUCUGUCAACUGCUACCAUAGGACCUAUGCAAAUACCGCAACAUAAUUGUUUAAGGCAAAGGGCUAGCUAUCUUUUCUAAAAAAACUACCUACCUGUGUGGUUGUUUUAGAGGCUAAGAAUUGAGCAGACUAGGAUUUAGUAGCCAAGAGGUGAAAGUAGGGGAUGGAAGUACUAUGCAAAUUGGUACCAUUACUCAACAAGCUUUUUAAGCUUCUUAAAAGGCUAAAGGUUUCUUUUUCUUCCAUUUUUUUAAAUUCUCAAUAUUUUGCUUUACUAUAAAAGUUUAGGUUACGGAGAUGUUGGAGCAACAGAAGGAUUACACCAUGGCCAUUGUCCUAUUUUGUCAUUAUUUUGUUAUAGGUUUCUUGGUCUGAAUGGAUUCAAAUUACGUGGUAGCGAAAAAAUUGUUGAUUCCACUUCAAGUUUUUCUUUUUGUUAAAAAUAUUUUUUUCCUAUAUGUAUCAUCAACUAUAUCGUGAAUUCAAAGUGCUCUCUCUCUCACGCACACAUUCACAUGCACUCAAUGUACACUCAUUGUUUGAAUGAAUUCGUUUUACGGGUUUAAUUUUCCUCAACUAACGCAACGCAUUUUUUACAUUUUUUUAGUUUGGUGAAAACAACUCGACUAUGAAUAACUAUUAGAAGUAGUCCACAAUUUUUAGUUUAACGGAAAUGGCCCGAUCCAUUCACCGUCAAAUGUCAAUGCUGAAUAAUCUCUCCUGAAUUGGCGUACAACCGAUCCACUUUCACCACCUUCAUAUGGACAUGUUAUUGCCACGUGGUUACCCGUAAAACCUCACCACUCCCGCCCCCUUCCUUCCUGGAUCUUUGCAGUUAAAACACUCUCCGUGCAUCAUCUCUCUUUCUCUCUCUCUCUCACACACACUCUCACUAGGGCCGGUCCAAGAGUUUUGAGUGCCUAAGGCCAAAUUAAAAAAAAUGUGCCCCUAAUACUUAACAAUUUUUACAACAAUGAUCAAAAUACGCUAAAGCAAUAUAAAAUCACCAACAGACCAACUGUUGUCUAUUGAAAGCUCCGAUAAAAAAAAUGGGAAAUGCUAGAGACACAUCAAUGUGUCACACCCCAACACAGUUCCCUCACAUGCAUAUGUGGGAAUUUCACAAUAUAUGCUAGGUACCCACUAGGAACCCACAUGUAUGUGAGAGGGGUGUGGUUGAGAUAUGAUAAAUUGAUGUGCCUCUAGUAUCUCUCAAAUACAACAAGCUGCAGAUACGAUUCUAGCGAUCAAUAUCAGAAAAUCAGAACCAAGCAAUCAGACUCAAAGGCAAGCUCAGAAACAUAAACGCCACAUAUUCAUAAUCAGUACUAACUACCAAACUCUUACAGAUACAAACACAGCGAAUUAAACCCUUAACACUAAACACCAUAUUGUUCACCAUCAUUCAUCAACGAAAACCAACAGCCCAUAAUUUUUUACCUGACUAGAAAAAACCCUAAUAGAUACGUGUGUGUAUCUAUAAUAUGUAUGGCGAAAAGAUGGGAGAGAAACCUGUGGACGGAGAAUGAGCGAUUAGGAGACGAAAUGAGUGCAAUCGAAGAACUGGAUGCUGGUGAUGAUGGUGAGCCGAUUUGGUUUGGUGAUAGUGAAUCGACAAAUUGUAGUUCUUCGAAAGUUUGAAACGUUCUUCGUUCUUCUUUACCUGGUUUUUAUUUUAUUUUUGUUUGGGCU